GCAGUCGAACGAAGUAGCAAUACUUAGUGGCAGACGGGUGAGUAACAUGUGGGUAUCUUCCCUUUGGCCUGGAAUAACACGAGGAAACUUGUGCUAAUACUGGAUAAGUCUUUACGGAGAAAGCUUUAUGCACCAUUGGAUGAGCCUGCACUUGAUUAGUUUGUUGGUGGGGUAAUGGCCUACCAAGACUUUGAUCAAUAGCUGAUUUGAGAGGAUGAUCAGCCACAUUGGGACUGAGACACGGCCCAAACUCCUACGGGAGGCAGCAGUGGGGAAUCUUGCACAGUGGAGGAAACUCUGAUGCAGCGAUGCCGCGUGAGUGAAGAAGGCCUUUGGGUUGUAAAGCUCUUUCGUCGGGGAAGAAAAUGACUGUACCCGAAUAAGAAGGUCCGGCUAACUUCGUGCCAGCAGCCGCGGUAAUACGAAGGGACCUAGCGUAGUUCGGAAUUACUGGGCUUAAAGAGUUCGUAGGUGGUUGAAAAAGUUGGUGGUGAAAUCCCAGAGCUUAACUCUGGAACUGCCAUCAAAACUUUUCAGCUAGAGUUUGAUAGAGGAAAGCAGAAUUUCUAGUGUAGAGGUGAAAUUCGUAGAUAUUAGAAAGAAUACCAAUUGCGAAGGCAGCUUUCUGGAUCAUUACUGACACUGAGGAACGAAAGCAUGGGUAGCGAAGAGGAUUAGAUACCCUCGUAGUCCAUGCCGUAAACGAUGUGUGUUAGACGUUGGAAAUUUAUUUUCAGUGUCGCAGCGAAAGCGAUAAACACACCGCCUGGGGAGUACGACCGCAAGGUUAAAACUCAAAUGAAUUGACGGGGACCCGCACAAGU
RNAcentral lists this ribosomal RNA (824 nucleotides) under uncultured marine bacterium. RNAcentral describes it as "bacterial SSU rRNA". It matches the Rfam family "Bacterial small subunit ribosomal RNA", at positions 57 to 930 of the family's 1533-position model. The record is from RNAcentral.